UUCUCUACUAACUGUGUUGCCUUCCUUCUUUGGUGUAUCUGUUCUUAUUGUGUUUCCCCAACUGUAGGCUCUCUGCCGUGGAUAUCCUACCAAAUUUGCUUCUUACUUCCAUUAAUGUCGCUCACUGCGUUUCGAAGAUGCACCGGACUAUCAGUACCUGAAGAGAUUGUUCAGAGACCUUUUUAUUCGGGAAGGUUUUUAGUUUGAUUAUGUUUUUGACUGGACCAUUCUAAAGUACCAACAGGCACAGAUGACCACUGCUCCACCUCGUGCAAUUGUCUGUACAAGGAAUAAACUUACCCUCCUAACUUAAGUAGUAGUAGAGAUUGUAUUGCGUAUAGAAAUGUACUUCUUUUGUUAUGUUAUAUUUCAUUGCCCCCUCUCUAUUUUGAUUCCUGGCCUUGAUUUUUGUUUCUUGUAUUUUUUUCAGGUCGUCUAGCUACUGUAGUUGCCCAUCGUCAAAGUUUUGUAGAGUGGUUAGUGUUUUUGGUUGACAGACAUUGGUGCUAGAUUUGGGAUCAGCCUUCCUAAACAGUACCAUUUACUUCAGCUCAAUUAUAUGAAUAAUGCUUGUUUGCAGGACAUAUUGCUAAUAAUCUGCCACAUUAUGUUUGCUUGAGGUAUUAAUUUAUCCAGGUGUUUAAUGCUGGAGUACAGUUAGAAGAUCCCUAAUCAAUUGCUUCUCAUUUCAGUCGUGUAACUUUAUUCAUGCUACAGCAGCGACUUUGAGCGAACAUGAGACCACUGAGCUCUGGAGUGAAUGAAGGACGUCGUCUUUGGAAGUCAGACAUCACCUAGAGCUAGGGUGUCCAUUCUUGACAUGUUUCUCUUAGUGAUAGAUGGAUACUGUCUAGUUAGGAAUA
Zea mays is the source of this 863-nucleotide long non-coding RNA. RefSeq lists it as uncharacterized. Lineage: Eukaryota; Viridiplantae; Streptophyta; Magnoliopsida; Poales; Poaceae. The transcript has 3 exons. The record is from RefSeq and is a predicted model, not a curated record.